Molecule: small RNA, 378 nt
Filed under: Arabidopsis thaliana (thale cress)
Lineage: Eukaryota; Viridiplantae; Streptophyta; Magnoliopsida; Brassicales; Brassicaceae
Description: ATSL294860
Source: RNAcentral
UAUAUUCUUAUUACAGAACUAGAUUUUAACCCGCGGUACACCGCGGAGACAAUUUAUAUUUUAAAGUUAGUAUAUAUAAAAAAAUUUAAAUUGUAUCUAUCUAUAAAAUAUUUUUAUUUUAUAAUUUACAAUUGUUAUUAAGUAACGUCCUUCCAAACCCGUCUCGCCAAACCCGUCCCGUAAAAAAACUAUUAUUUUAUUAAUGUUAAUCUUAUUUAUGAUAUGUUUAUGAAUCAUUGUCUAAAUAUUUUAGUCGAUGUGGGACGUUCAAAUUCACACAUUUUUUGCCAAUUGGUUAAUAUAUGUUUAUUUUUAAAAUUUUGAAUCACAAAAUAUGACGGAAAGAAUUGAGAUUUUUUUAAACUCUAUAUAUUAUAU